Molecule: ribosomal RNA, 420 nt
Filed under: uncultured bacterium
Lineage: Bacteria
Description: partial 16S ribosomal RNA
Rfam family: Bacterial small subunit ribosomal RNA
Source: RNAcentral
AAUAUUUGACUAUGGGGGCCACGCUGAUCCAGCCAUGCCGCGUGUGUGAAGAAGGUCUUCGGAUUGUAACGCCCUCUACGUUGGGAGGAAGGGCUUGAGGUGAAUCCCCGUAAGCUGCGACGGUACCAACCGAAUAACCACCGGCUAACUCUGUCCCAGCAGCCGCGGUAAUACAGCGGGUGCCAGCGUUAAUCGGAAUUACUGGGCGCAAAGCGGGCGUAGGUGGUUCAGUAAGAUGGGUGGGAAAUCCGCGGGCUUAACCUGGGAACUGCUUUCAUAGCUGCGGAGCUAGAGUAGGGUGGAGGGUAGUGGAGUUUCCUGUGUAGCGGUGGAAUGCGUAGAUAUAGGAAGGAACACCAGUGGCGAAGGCGACUACCUGGACUGAUGCUGAGACAGAGGUGCGAAAGCGUGGGGAGCAAA